Molecule: long non-coding RNA, 2117 nt
Organism: Cygnus olor (mute swan)
Lineage: Eukaryota; Metazoa; Chordata; Aves; Anseriformes; Anatidae
Exons: 3
Source: RefSeq, a predicted model, not a curated record
GGUCAGAGGUUGGACUGGGUAAUCUUGGAGGUCUCUUCCAACCUAGAUGAUUCUGUGAUUUUGUAACAGGCCUUUUGGUUAACUUUUCCCCCCUGGCAGCCAGUGGGGGGAAAAACCUGCCACAGUGUCCACUGAGGGCCUGGAUUUCAGUGCUCCAGAAAGGUGGCAGAAACAACCAGCCGUCAAGGGAGGGCACUGCCACCCCCCUGCCCCUCAAGGCCAUUAAUGGCAGGGUGAAGCUGCGCAGCCAUCUCUAGGCGUUGCCACCUGCCCAGGGGCCAUGUGCACACAGAGGACAGGUCUUUCUGGCCACAGAGGGUACGGGGUGGAGGUGGGCACCAUGGCAGCCCCACAGGGUGGGGGGCUGUUCGACCCCUUGUCCUUCGCAAAGGACCUGCUGGCCGGCGGCGUGGCGGCCGCCAUCUCCAAGAUGGCCGUGGUGCCUGUCGAGCGAGUGAAGCUGUUGCUGCAGGUGCAGGCCUCAUCCAAGCAGAUCCAGGCGGACCAGCAGUACAAGGGCAUGAUCAACUGCUUUGUGCACAUCUCCAGGCAGCAAGGUAUAGAGCCCAGGAAACAAAAGCUUUUAGAAACACCUCUGUGUCAACAGCAAUGGAGAAGCCAUCAUGGGCUGCAUCACGGGCUGCUGGUGUUCGGAGUGGCGUUAUCUGAGAGGGAUUUCUCAGCUUCUAGCAUGGCAAUUUGGUAAACAUUAUAUGAUAUUUUCCAACGCAGGCUCUAAACUUUGCUUUUAAGAACAAGUACAAACCGAUUUGUAUGUCCAAAGUGGAUAAAGAAAAACAGGGAUUAUUGCCAAAUCCAAAACAAACUCCACUCAUUCUUUCCUUUUUCAUUGCUCAAGUUGUGACUGUGUUCUCAGGAAUGCUGUCAUAUCCGUUUGGCACUGUCAGGAGACGCAUGAUGAUGCAGGUAUGAUCUAGCUUACAGUUCUUUUCUGGAAAUUACUGGAUCUUUGAAACUUGGCAUGCUAAUUGGAGUGCUGUAUAGCCUUACAGCAUGUGAGACUAUUCAGAAAAAGAAGGGGAAACAGCUCCAGAAAGAAAAGAAGAUAGAUCUGAAAUAAUGGUAUUGCAGGAAUCUGGCUAAAAAUAUGUUCAGUUAACAGCUUGAUGAGAGAUUUUAGUAGAAAAGUGAGAUCUGUUUUCUUUCUCCUACUCAGAUGCUUGGUAUUUGGAUUAAGACGGGUCUGUGGGUAGAAUAAUGUGCUUUAUUAGUCCAGCUAAUACAGUUGGAAGACUAGGCUUUGUGGCAUACAGAUAUUUUUCAUGUGUGAAAUAGAAUCAAUGUUUUGCAAAGCUCAGUAUAUGCUGGGAAUUAUAGGAAAGUGUAUUUUUAGCUAUCUUGUUGCUAGUUAUUAGGUAAUUUUACUAGGCAGUUAAGUAGCAUUUGAAGUACAUUUAAUAAAGUAUGUUCUAACCAUCAAGAGCAUCUUUGCAUGUGAAAUAAAAAACAAAAAUGAUCGGGACCUUGUUCCCUGCACCACUGAGAAAGUUUUGCCAUCUGAUGACAAAAAGGAGAUGCUAGUUCCAAAGACAUGUCUCUAAGUGAGGUUUCAGGUGUAUCUUCUUUUCUCUCUGUACUCCAGAAAAUGAAAAGAAAAUCAGAACAAAUGUUGACAUAGUUGUUUUCAAAAUACUCCAGGAGAUACUUAGCUUCUUAUGUAAUGCCUGCAUACCUCUGGUAAUCUGUCCUAAAUCUGUCCCAAAUAACAGAAAUCCUUGAAGCUUAUAGUGGACAAACACUAUUAGAAAGCACUUCUUCCUUACAAACUAAAUAUGAUUUCACUGUCUUCAGAUUCUGCUUUCUCUGCUUAGUGAGCAGUCAGCCUAUAGUUAGUGCUGUUCAUAUUCAGAAGUACUGUUUCCCAAGGCUGGCCUUACCAAAAAAAUGCACGUAUUUCUGGUAGUUAACCUACUGCUGGGAUAGAGAAUAGUAUCAAGAUUAUUAAAAACGUAAAAUAUAUGAAAUAAGAUAAUGGUUUUACUAGCACACAGGAAACAACGUGAGAUGAUUUGGAUAUGUUGUGGAUAUGUAGGUAUGUAUGUACUUCAGGUGGUGUCCAUGUUUUGUUUACAUAGUUUUGAAACCUCAGGUACAAA